Molecule: long non-coding RNA, 1188 nt
Organism: Anolis sagrei ordinatus
Lineage: Eukaryota; Metazoa; Chordata; Lepidosauria; Squamata; Anolidae
Source: RefSeq, a predicted model, not a curated record
AAGGAAGGGAACCCUGGAAAACGCACGCAAGAGGCUUCAGUGUUUGCAUUAUAAUAUAAGGAGACUGCAUUGUUUGAAAAAGAGAGCAAACUGAAUACAGCAUUCUUCCCACCCCCAAUUAAUUGUAUUGCCAUCUAAUACUAUGUGGGAAGGAUCCUGCCAUCAUCCUAAUCCAUACUCCAAUCAAGUCCUUGCCAGAAAUUAUGCAAUGUAUCCCAAAGUUCUGUUCUAAGAGGAUCAAAAGAGAAAAAAUGUACCUGUUGAUAUACCAGAAUUCUCAGACAUUUACUAAAGGCAAAAGUGAAGGCCUCUGCUUGAAUUUUAAAGGAUUUUGGCAGUAUUUCAUAGUGCCUGAAGAACAUCUGCAACAGGGGAUUUAAAAACAUGAGUCCCAGUUCAUUGGGCCCAGAUGCUGUCAAAUGUAUUUUGGCUGAAAUAUUCAUAUGAACUUCCAUUGGGCACAAGCUGUGAAGGAAAUUACCACUGUUUACAGCCAAGAAGAUUUCUAUACAAAAGGAAUAAUCAUGGAAGAACCCAGAGGAGAAAGCCUGGAGGGAACACAACUGUUCAUUACCAUAAGUAAUUAACCCUGGCUGAGCUUGAUAGCGUAAGAGCCAAUGACACUGGGGCAGCCUGCCGCUAGGGGUAGUGACCAUGCAAUGCCUGCAGGUAAUUGGCAAUGAGUUUCUCCUCAUGAUGAUUACUUGCUUAAGUCUAUGUAUUUCAACAGGUACAUGCUUUGUAGAGAAUGAGGGUUGCUUCAGCUUGAGUACCUGGGAGCCUUUAAUUAAUACCUUAAGAAUCUGUGAUGAGGUAAAUAUCAGGCAAGUUUAAUGAGAGCACCCAGCUGUGUUGGAAGGCUUUCUAGAACAACUUAAAUAUCUUGUUCCUCCUCAGCACACUUCACAUCCUCCUCAGGCGAUUUCAACUUUGCAUGAUACCAAGGCUUUGCUAAGUUUUAUUUUCUACAUGGGUUCUAUAAAGUGUGGUUAACCUUGGUAGUGUCCAAGCCCCUUAUUCCUGUUUUCACAUAGGAGUUCUAUGUGAGAGAUCAGGGGUCUUCUGUUCACAGAGUUUGAGCCAUUUGUGCUGAGAACUGGUAGAGGUUCUCAGAGGGCAUCAUCAUCCCAGAGCAACUUAGGGCACUCGCUUCUCAUGUUGAGAAGGAGAGAGCGAUUGUUUUGGUGC